This 714-nucleotide long non-coding RNA is filed under the name Ananas comosus (pineapple). Its description in RNAcentral is "long non-coding RNA (ACOM_LNC035552)". The record is from RNAcentral. Lineage: Eukaryota; Viridiplantae; Streptophyta; Magnoliopsida; Poales; Bromeliaceae.
UUUUCUUUCAGAGCCUUCCACGCCGGGAGAGGCUAGGGGCCGUGGGAAGGGCGUUGCUUCGAGCUAGCUCUUCAGCGAGUGACGAGUUCUAGGUGGUCUACCUCUCGAUAUAUUUAUUUUGAAGAGGUUGAGAGCUGUACUAGUGUACUAGAGACCACCCUUUUGUGUACCUUUUGGACAGAUAUUGUAUAACUUUAUGUUUCACUCUUAUUGCUUUAGUAUUAUCCUUUUACCUUGUUGUAGAUGAUAGAUCUAUUUGUGCUCUGAUAUUUCUAAAUAUUGUUUAUCUUUGGUUUAUUUUUCGCUGUUGAUGUAGACGCUUUAUAUGUGUUGACAUAUGGCGGGUCUGGGCACGCUACCGGGGGGGCCUCUGCUCGUCCCAGGGCGUGACAUGACUAGAGAUAGAUGUACCAUAGGUCAGCAUAGCUAAGGGAUAUAGAAAAAAAAGAAACAAAAUUGUAAUAACAAUGUUGAUUGUAUUUGGAAAGGAAAAAUAUAAAUGUAAUGGGAAUGUGAAGUGAAUGCUUGUAAUAGCAUAGUUGUUUAUGUUUCUGAUAUCUUUCUUAUGUAAUCUCUGUAUGAAUUUUGUUCCUGAUUGGAAGAUCUUGAAUUGAAUUGUAUUGAUUGUGAUGUCUUGGGCGGACAGAAAAAAUUCUGUUCGUUCGGCGGUCUGUUGGCACGACCGAAUCGGACCAAAAUAGUGGGUCUCGAGGC